GGCUCAGAAUCAACGCUGGCGGCGCGCCUAACACAUGCAAGUCGAGCGAGAAAGGGGAGCAAUCCCUGAGUAAAGCGGCGUACGGGUGAGUAACACGUGGAUGAUCUACCUUCUAGUGGGGAAUAACCCUGGGAAACCGGGGCUAAUACCGCAUAAGCACGAGAGUGGAAAGCAGCAAUGCGCUGGAAGAGGAGUCCGCGGCCGAUUAGCUAGUUGGCAGGGUAAAAGCCUACCAAGGCAAGGAUCGGUAGCCGGCCUGAGAGGGCACACGGCCACACUGGCACUGAAACACGGGCCAGACUCCUACGGGAGGCAGCAGUGGGGAAUCUUGCACAAUGGGGGAAACCCUGAUGCAGCGACGCCGCGUGAGCGAUGAAGCCCUUCGGGGUGUAAAGCUCUUUCGGCAGGGAAGAUUAUGACGGUACCUGCAGAAGCAGCUGCGGCUAACUACGUGCCAGCAGCCGCGGUAAUACGUAGGCAGCGAGCGUUGUUCGGAGUUACUGGGCGUAAAGGGUGCGUAGGCGGUUGUUUAAGUUUGGUGUGAAAUCUCCCGGCUCAACCGGGAGGGUGCGCCGAAUACUGAAUGACUAGAGUGCGGGAGAGGAGAGUGGAAUUCCUGGUGUAGCGGUGAAAUGCGUAGAUAUCAGGAGGAACACCGGUGGUGUAGACGGCUCUCUGGACCGUAACUGACGCUGAGGCACGAAAGCGUGGGUAGCAAACAGGAUUAGAUACCCUGGUAGUCCACGCCCUAAACGAUGCAUAUUUGGUGUGGGCAGUUCAGUCUGUCCGUGCCGGAGCUAACGCGUUAAAUCGACCGCCUGGGGAGUACGGCCGCAAGGUUAAAACUCAAAG
This 852-nucleotide ribosomal RNA is filed under the name uncultured bacterium. Its description in RNAcentral is "bacterial SSU rRNA". It matches the Rfam family "Bacterial small subunit ribosomal RNA", at positions 21 to 906 of the family's 1533-position model. The record is from RNAcentral.